RNAcentral lists this ribosomal RNA (34 nucleotides) under Quadrispora sp. H5092. RNAcentral's name for it is "partial 28S ribosomal RNA". Lineage: Eukaryota; Fungi; Basidiomycota; Agaricomycetes; Agaricales; Cortinariaceae. The record is from RNAcentral.
CAGGUAGGACUACCCGCUGAACUUAAGCAACAAA